AUGGUGGCCUCAGCAAAAAAGAAGAAUAAGGGGAAGACUAUCUCCCUAAUAGACUUUCUGGCUGAGGAUGGGGGGACUGGUGAAGGAAGCACCUAUGUUCCCAAACCAGUCAACUAGGCUGAUGAAACAGAUGACCUGGAAGGAGAUGUUUCAACCACUUGGCACAGCCACGAUGACAUGCGUAUGGGGCACCUUCAAUCCACCGUUCCAUCCUUCCCACUGCUCCACGGGCUGCUCGGGAACCCAGUAUCGACCGGAGGCGUCUUCCCAAAUCGCCACCCUACCCUGCUUUUCUGGGGAACCUGCCCUAUGAUGUGACAGAAGACUCGAUGAAGGAAUUCUUGAGAGGUUUAAAUAUCAGUGCAGUUCGUUUACCACGUGAACCCAACAAUCCAGGGCGGUUGAAAGGUUUUGAUUAUGCCGAGUGUGAGGAUCUGGAUUCCCUGCUCAGUGCUCUGAGUCUCAAUGAAGAGUCUCUAGGUAACAGGAGAAUUCGAGUGGACGUUGCUGAUCGAGCUCAGGAUAAAGACAGGGAUGGCCGUUCUUUUGGCCGGGAUAGAAAUCGAGAUUCUGACAGAAGAGAUACAGACUGGAGGGCCCGCCCUGCCACAGACAGCUCUGAUGACCACCCGCCUGGAAGAGGUGGUGAUAGCUUUGGAGACAAAUAUCAAGAGCGUUAUGAUUCAGACCGGUAUCGUGAUGGGUACCGGGACGGGUAUCGUGACGGCCCACGGCGGAAUAUGGAUCGGUACGGGGGCCGGGAUCACGAUGAAGACCGUGGCAGCAGGGACUGUGAUCGAGGCUCUGAUUCCAGGAUAGGCAGUGGCAGAAGCACAUUUGGUAGCAGGUACCGAAGAGAUGACCACUACGGAGGAGGCGGGGAACUCUAUGAAGACCCAUAUGAAAGGCGGGACGAUGGGUCAUGGAGCUCCAGGGAUGACUUACUCUCGAGAUGAUUCCAGGCGUGAUGACAGAGGUCCCCCCCCCAAAGACCCAAACUGAAUCUAAAGCCUCGGAGUACUCCUGAGGAAGAUGAUUCCUCUGCUAGCACCUCCCAGGCCAGCCGAGCAGCUUCUAUCCUCGGAGGGGCAAAACCUGUUGACACAGCUGCGAGAGAGAGAAGUGGAGGAGCGGCUUACAGGAAGAGCAGGAGAAACUGCAGCGCCGGCUGGACGAGCCAAAGCUGGAACGGCGGCCUCGGAAGAGACACCCAAGCUGGCGAAGUGAAGAAAUUCAGGGACCGAACGGUCGAGGACAGGAAGUGAGUCAUCACAGACUGGGGCCUCAGCCACAUCUGGCAGAAGGAAGUCAGAUCAGGAUGCAGGAAGGAGAGAGAGGGAGAAGUCUCUAGAAAAUGAAACAUUCAAUAAGGAGGAAGGCUGUCACUCUCCGACUUCUAAACCUCCCAAACCUGAUCAGCCCCUCCACCAAAGGAGAAUGUUUGGGUGAAGCGAAGUUCUAACCCUCCCGCUCGAUCUCAGAGCUCAGACACAGAGCGGCAGUCCCCUACAAGUGCUGGGGGGAAAGUAGCUCCAGGUCAGUCAUCUGAGGAAGGACCAACUAGGAAAGCAGAUGAAAAUAAAGUAGAUGGGAUAAGUGUCCCAAAAGGCCAAACUGGGAUCUCCAGCCGUGGUCCAGAAGAUGGAGGAAACAAAGACCACUGGAAGGAUUCAGAUAGGAAAGAUGGCAAAGAGGAUCAAGACUCCAGAUCUGCACCUGAGUCAAAGAAACCCAAGGAAAUUCCAGCCUCUAAGUUCAGUUCUGCAAGCAAGCAUGCUGCCCUCUCCGUUGAUGGGGAAGAUGAAAAUGAGGGAGAGGAUUACACCGAAUAGACUUCAACAUCCUGUGCUUUCUCCUGGUCUCUCUCCACCCUGGAACAUUCAAGAGCAAAUCAAACCUCUAUCCAGACAAGGCAAAAUAAAACUCACCAUCUCCUGGA
Molecule: RNA transcript, 1939 nt
Organism: Carlito syrichta (Philippine tarsier)
Lineage: Eukaryota; Metazoa; Chordata; Mammalia; Primates; Tarsiidae
Gene name: eukaryotic translation initiation factor 4B pseudogene
Exons: 1
Source: RefSeq, a predicted model, not a curated record